AUUGAAAUAAAUAUUUGUUUAGAUGUAGGAGAUUCUGCUUAAACUUUAUUCGUGAAAAUACUUGAAUGUACUAUGUAGAUAUUAAAUAUAUAUACUGCAUUGUUUCAAUUUUGCGAUUCCGUAAUUCUCUUUUUUUGCGUUUGUGUUUAAUCACUGCUUCUUAACGCAUGUCAAAUAGGAAUCAAGAGGGGUACAGUCAUGGUAUACUAAUAAUUAGUAUAUAAUUAAAACAAAUAAAAUUGUGAAUUAUGAUCUUCUAUCUCAGUCUAUCUCAUUUAAUAAAUAAGCAGGUUGUUUGUAUUACUUUAAAACUAAAUCUUCUGUUUAAUGUAUCUCCCCUAAUUGUUACUUAAAAUAAUUAAACUAGCAAUGGACCAUGAAACAGGAGAGACAUUAACAGAAAUAUUAUAUCCAAUGCUUGAUAAUGGAGAAA
This is a long non-coding RNA of Agrilus planipennis (emerald ash borer), 433 nucleotides long. RefSeq lists it as uncharacterized. Lineage: Eukaryota; Metazoa; Arthropoda; Insecta; Coleoptera; Buprestidae. The transcript is spliced from 2 exons. The record is from RefSeq and is a predicted model, not a curated record.